This 4026-nucleotide long non-coding RNA is filed under the name Coturnix japonica (Japanese quail). RNAcentral's name for it is "lncRNA (ENSCJPG00005010307.1)". The record is from RNAcentral. Lineage: Eukaryota; Metazoa; Chordata; Aves; Galliformes; Phasianidae.
AUGCUGCGGGAGCUGGGUGAGCUGUGGGAGGACCUGCAGAAGAAGCACCAGGAGAAUGGUGCAGUGCUGCAGGAAAUCGAUAAGGCACUGAGGCUGGUGGGGGAGCUGGACCGUGCUGAACGAUGGCUGCAAGCUGUGGCCGGGUCGCUCUCAGAGCCAGCCCCUAUGCGAAGUCCCACAGAGCUGCGCCGGGACCUGGAGGGGACAGACCGGCUGGAGAGGCAGCUCAUGCUGUGCAGCCUCAAGCUCCAGGCACUGCGAGAGGAGGCAGCGAGCGAGACAUCUGUGGAACACGAGGGAGCAAGGAAGAUGCAGAGGAAGGUGGAGAUGGUGGAGGAGAAGCUGGCACGAGUACAGUCAGCACUGCGGCGCCGAGCUGCUGACCUGCGAGACUCCUUGGUGCUGUCUGAGUUCCUGCAGAACCUGCAAGAGGAGGAGUCACGGAACCGGCAGGGACCUGCGGCGCCAGGGAGCAGGCAUCAUGGCUUGCAGAGGGCUUUUCCCCUGCUCUCGGCCCAGGCUGAAGACAGCGAGGUGAGCAGUCCUUUGGGAGAGCUGCAGGAGGCUGUGGAGAUGCUGAACAGUGCGGUGAAGGAGCGUGAGCGGGUUGUGGAGGUGGCAGCGGAGACGGAAAGCCUGGAGCGCCUGGUGGCAGAGGUGUCCCCACGCCUGGAGGCCCUUUGUUGCGAAGCCAAGGCCCUGGCUCAUGACACUGCCCAAGCAGAGAAGAGUUUCACUACAGUGAAAAGUGAGAAGGACCUCCCGGGUCUGCAGGGCCUGCAGAGCCGGCAGCAGGACAUGGAGCGUGAGGUGUCAGAGGGCCUGCAGGGGAAGCUGGAGGAGCUGGAGAAGAAAGCUUCCCGCUUGCAAGAGCUCUGCCCUGCACAUCUGUGCCCCAUUGGCCGGGAGGCGCAGCGCACGCUGCAGCUGUGGGCAGAGCUGCAGGAGCUGCUGCAGGAGACCCGUGCCCACGUGCAGCAGGCUGGUCAGCUGCGGCACUUCUUCAGGGAUUACUUGGCCAUGAUCUCCUGGACAGAGGACACGCGGGCUCAGAUCUUCUCAGAGAGCCCAAGCAGCCAUGGUCUCCUGGAGCCCCAGUGUGAGGAGCUGGAAAGGAAAAUCGAGGGGAAGCUGAAGGAGUUUGAGAAGCUGGCAGCUGCAGGGCAGCAGCUGGUGGCUGAGGAGCACAACUUGAGUGCAAUGAUCCAAGAGCGCCUGGAGGAGCUGCAGAGCAUGCUGGGCUGGGUGCUGGUGCGCUGGCGAGCGCAGAGGCAUCAGCGGGACACUGGGAACAAGCAGGAGGACAGGAAGGAUCCAGAGAGCCCCUUGAGAGCAUCCCCUGCUGGACAGGAGCAGUGUGCCCCGUGUGCUCAGGAGAGCAUCCUCAGCCAAGACAGGAUCACACUCUGCUCCCUCCCCACACCUGUGCCAGGUCCAGAGCCACAGGUGCUGGUGGGAGCAGCGGGCUCCCUUCCAGCAUUGCCUGUCUCAGACAUGCCACUGAGAGGGGAGGAGAGCUGGGGGGAACUUAGCAACUUGGGACCCCCUGAAGAGGCUCUGGCCUGGGAUUCCUCUGAGACCUCUACGCUGCUGCUGCCACCACGGGGCCCCAGUGGGCUGGGAGGAACUGUCAACUUGAUCCUAAGCAUCAGCAAGAAGGGUGAGAAGAAGAAGGUGCAGAUUGAGGAGGCUCCAAGGACGGCACCACAGGAGGAGAGCUAUGGGGAGAAAGCCAGGAAGAGUUCCAGCACACCGCAGCCAGCAAAGCGACCACCUGCCGCAUCCUGCCGCCCACCAGCACCCAGCACUGGUACAUCACCAUCUUCACACACCCUGCCCAAAGCUGGGGCUGGGUCCCUCUUCAACAGCCUGCAGCGGAGGGAGCGGGCGAGGGCUGAGCAGGCACGGCUGCUGACACUGCAGGGCAUCAUGGGCUCCAGCUCCCUGCAGCCCCCACCUGAGGAGCGACGUGGCCCCACCAACACAUGGCCUCUCAAGUGUGGCCGCAGGAAGGCGGCGGGGGCAGCCCCCAGCCCCCCUCUCGGGGAGCUGCUGCUCUACGUGAAGAACCCCCUGGUACGGGACAUAGAUGCUGAGUGCGGGGCGGCCCCCAGGCACCCCCAGCCCCGUUGCAUCUCCCCAGGGUCGAAACCCACGUGUCCCCAGCUUGCUCUGGGCUCCGUGCUGAGCCUGGAGCUGCCCAAGGACCUGGGGUGCCUCCGGGACGCAUCAGCACGGGAGGAGAGGCAGGGCACGGGAGUGCAGCUCUGGCAGCCCAGCUGCAAGGCCAGGCAGCAGGAGGAGGGCACGGGGGGACAGAGUCAAGAUCUGGGGAAGACUCCUAAGGGCGAGCAAGGAACGUGGUUUGAAGAGGUGAGCUUCAACCCCAGCUAUGGCCGUCACAAGGCCUGGAGCCUGGAGGAGCACGGCAGCCCGCGGCAACCCAGCAGUGCUGGUGAGGGAAUCCUGGACUCUAGGCCAAGCCGGCCAGCCCAUGUCAGCAGCCGGGAGUGGGACAUGUUGGCCACCCGCUCGUACCGGGAUGGCAGCCCUGGCAGCGGGACCAGGCAUCGCGAAGCUGCUCGGCUGGAACCAGGGCCAUCCCCCACCGGUACCGCGGGCAGGGCAGGAGCAGUCCUCAGCGCUGCCUGUACUUCCCCUGCUGCCCCCACCCAGCUCUCUGUCUUUGAGUGGGCACUGGGCCCCCCGCAGCCCCCCAGCCCGGCGCUGGGAUCCAAGGUGUGUCACCCUCCCCACGGGCAGUUUGAGGAGGAGGAGGAGGAGCUGCAGGCCAUCUGGGAUGGGGCGGGUGAGCGGCGGGCACCCAGCCACACAGCAUGCAGCCCCCCCAGCUCCGACACCUCUGGCGGGCCCCUCAUCCUCUCAGCAGCCAACAACGUGCUGGUGGCCAAGUUCACCCUGCCCAGUGCCGCCCAGCUCCUGCACAGCCCGCCUGCGGAGAAGAGCCAUGGGGUCACCCCAUGCUUGGAAGAGCCAUCGUCCACAGCCCCCUUGGACAGCCCCAGCGUGUGGGAUCGACACAGGCAGCGGGAAGAUGAGAGAGAGGGCAGCAAGGCUGCCCCUGGGAGAGUGGAGUUCCAGAUGAUGGAGGGGACGCUGGAAAGGAAGCACGUGCUGCAGGCGGGCGGCAGAAAGGCGAGCUGCCGUACCUGGGGCCUCUUCCAUGCCGUGCUGAUGAGGCAGACGCUGUGCUUCUACCAGGACCGCAGAGACAGCAUCAAGAGCUCUGUGGUGGCCCUUCCCCUGAACCUCUCCGGAGCCAUCUGCACACCAGACACCGAGUAUAUGAAGAAGACCAACUGCUUUAGGCUGCAGCUGCGGGAUGGCUCCGAGUAUCUCCUGAGGGCCCCCUCCCAGCCCCUCAUGGAUGAAUGGGUCUCCAAGCUGCAGCAGAACUCAGGUUUCCCUGAAGUGGAUUACUUUCAGGCAGCGACACAGUGCAUCGAGAGCCCCAGGGCUGCUGGGGGGUUCAACAAGGUGCCCAGCCCCGGGAGCCCCCACCUGCAGGGACACCACCAGGCCAUGACUGCCAAGAGCCCGGAGAUCGUGGUGCUGCCCCGCUCCAACACCCGUCUGCAACAGCCGCUGGGCACCCAAGAUGGCCCAUCCGAUGGGACAGUGGCAGCAGAGGAUGUCUGUGGGGCCGCCAGCCAUGCAGCUGGGUCCAGGGAACAGCAGUGGUCACCCAGGAUGUCCCCUGGGCUGUGGGACAACAGCUGCCCAGACGAUGACUACGGGCUGGUGGCCAACAAGCGGAGAUCCUACUCCUUCACAUCAGCCACCUACCAGAAGAUCGUGCCCGUGGCCGUGCCCCAGGAGCCGCCGGAGGCUGGAAGCAGCUACUCGGUCACGCUGUACAUCAGUGAGCAAGCAGCAGCCAUGCCCAGGGCACGCUGCCACUCCUUCGUGGCCCGGCCGGGGAGCCCACAGGACGUGCUAGCGGAGAAGAUCCCUCGCCCCAAGAACAAAUCUGUCUUCAAGAAGUUCUUUGGGAAGAAGGAGUGA